UCUAAUAUUCAACCAUAUGAUUUUUAGCUAAAAGGCAUGCAUGUAGAAUAUGUAUAAUUUGCAUUAUUCUUUUGAUGAUUUUAUGUGUAAAUAUGCAUGUUUGGAAAAUAUGUGUAAUUUAUACCAAGUGUGCAUGGCCCAUGCACACAUGAGGUAUAUGAGUUGGGCACAAGAAAGUCUUAUGUGAUGCUAAAGAAUGCUAUUUGAUUAUCAUUAUAUGCUCGUUGUGACGUUUGUCAGUUUUUGCUUUGCUUGGACCUGAGGUAGCAAAUAUGAUUUCUCUUUGGCACACGUGGUGAUGUGGGGAGUUCCAAUGUCAGGGUGUGUAUGGCGUGGGGGUACCCUAUGGGCAAGAAAAUGAUCAGCUUAACGCCAAUUUCUAAAGAGCAAUGUGAUGUUUAUUUUUAAUUUUUCAGAACUUAUAAGUGGGACUUGAACUUUAAUUUUUUUUUAAAAACGUUGCAUGGAAACUAUUAUUUUUAUUUUUAUACUACUGGGCCCAACUUGCAUGUUUUAGCAAGGCCCCACUGGGAUUUUUCAUAUAAUAAGUGGCUUUCUUCUAUAAGUUUAUGGGCAUGUAAAAGUUUUACAAAGUAUUAGAUUACGACAUUUUACAUUAUU
Long non-coding RNA from Humulus lupulus (European hop), 621 nucleotides. RefSeq lists it as uncharacterized. The record is from RefSeq and is a predicted model, not a curated record. The transcript is spliced from 2 exons. Lineage: Eukaryota; Viridiplantae; Streptophyta; Magnoliopsida; Rosales; Cannabaceae.